RNAcentral lists this long non-coding RNA (835 nucleotides) under Ananas comosus (pineapple). RNAcentral describes it as "long non-coding RNA (ACOM_LNC025389)". The record is from RNAcentral. Lineage: Eukaryota; Viridiplantae; Streptophyta; Magnoliopsida; Poales; Bromeliaceae.
AAUCGAACACUUGAACCUCGCAAUUUGCAAAGGUCCAGUGUGCUACACCCGUCCUAAUAGCAUUACAGGUCAACUCUAUGGGCUAGUAAUGAAAAAUAAAAUUGAAUUGCUUUGGAAUGAAAAAUGGAAUGACGAGUCAUCCGAAAAUAUUUGGUUCAUUAUUGGAAUGGCAAUCAGGUUCGAAAUUUAGAAUUUUUGAGAGAGGAUUUUGAUUACGAGAGAGGAAAGUGAUGAAGGGAGAUGAAGUAGGUGUUAGUGAAAGAGAAUUUUGAAUAGUUUACUUUGGAAUGGGCCAAUCCGAAAUUCAAAGCCAGAUUGGGUCAUAAAUAGAUUUGGCAAUUUCCAUUCCGGAGUGGAAUAGGAACUAGAAUCUGAUUCCUAUAAAACAAACGACAAAAAUCGGAAUCAAUGAAUUCCAUUCCGAUUCCAUAGUCUAAAAUAGGUGAACCAAACAAGCCCUAUAUAUAGUAUAGGACAACUCAACUCUAUAUACAUUGUAGGAUUGAAAUAAUAGUGGUUCCUAAAAUUUAGUGAUGGUCCCCGUAAGAUUGAGUGUUGGUUGAACAGUAUGAUCUAAAUAGUGAAAUUGAUUAAAGUGUAAAUCUAACGGAGCCGAGCACUAGGCAAAUAAUAUCAGCCGUUGAUUUUGAGACCCUUCAUUUACUAGGCAAAUAAUAUCAAAAAAUCGCAUAAUUUAUUUUCUAGGUACUUCAAAUACUCUAGAUCAAGUUUAACGGAGCCGAUCAACGAUUCGAAAGUUGCAACAUGAAAAAUGAUCUGGAAGCACCAGAAGCAUAGUAGCCUCACUCAUAAUAAUUAUAGUGUACACUUUGAA